This 425-nucleotide ribosomal RNA is filed under the name Acanthamoeba triangularis. RNAcentral's name for it is "SSU rRNA". The stretch from base 1 to 375 matches the Rfam family "Eukaryotic small subunit ribosomal RNA", at positions 760 to 1115 of the family's 1831-position model. The record is from RNAcentral. Lineage: Eukaryota; Discosea; Longamoebia; Acanthamoebidae.
AAAAAAUUAGAGUGUUCAAAGCAGGCAGAUCCAAUUUUCUGCCACCGAAUACAUUAGCAUGGGAUAAUGGAAUAGGACCCUGUCCUCCUAUUUUCAGUUGGUUUUGGCAGCGCGAGGACUAGGGUAAUGAUUAAUAGGGAUAGUUGGGGGCAUUAAUAUUUAAUUGUCAGAGGUGAAAUUCUUGGAUUUAUGAAAGAUUAACUUCUGCGAAAGCAUCUGCCAAGGAUGUUUUCAUUAACCAAGAACGAAAGUUAGGGGAUCGAAGACGAUCAGAUACCGUCGUAGUCUUAACCAUAAACGAUGCCGACCAGCGAUUAGGUGACGUUGAAUACAAAACACCACCAUCGGCGCGGUCGUCCUUGGCGUCUCGGUCCUUCACGGGGCCGGGGCGCGGGGGCGGCUUAGCCCGGUGGCACCGGUGAAUG